GANACCGGGAGAAAUCCCGCCUAAUACAACAUAAUGCCGGGAGGGGACAUCCCCUGCCGGCCAAAGGGGGCGACCCCGGUCACGGAUGGGCAUGCGGCGCAUUAGGUAGUUGGUGGGGCAACGGCCCACCAAGCCGACGAUGCGUAGGGGUUCUGAGAGGAAGGUCCCCCACAUUGGAACUGAGACACGGUCCAAACUCCUACGGAAGGCAGCAG
This 215-nucleotide ribosomal RNA is filed under the name uncultured bacterium. Its description in RNAcentral is "partial 16S ribosomal RNA". It matches the Rfam family "Bacterial small subunit ribosomal RNA", at positions 143 to 354 of the family's 1533-position model. The record is from RNAcentral.